Daphnia magna is the source of this 5302-nucleotide RNA transcript. RefSeq lists it as uncharacterized. The transcript has 10 exons. Lineage: Eukaryota; Metazoa; Arthropoda; Branchiopoda; Diplostraca; Daphniidae. The record is from RefSeq and is a predicted model, not a curated record.
UCAGCCCUAGCCCCGAUCGUAGUCUUUACUUCGUAGUCUGUGCUUUCACACGCUUGAUAAAUUCAUGUUUGUUUGUUGCAGCGUACAAAAAUACUAGUUCCAAGAUUGCAUUGAUUUGAAUUUUAUGAAUUAAAUCUAGAUAUCAUAGAUAGAGAACGAACAGAAUAACGUCAACAUGACGCUUUCAGACGAUUUGGAAGUUGAUUGUUGUGAAGAAGAAUUGAGUGAAGCUCAAGUGAACUUUUAUUCAAAUGCCAUAAAGGAAUAUGAGAAAGCCUUGUCAGAAGCCAACCAGAUCAAGAAAGAAGGCUCUUCAGUCACAAAAACAGGAAAUAUUUGGUUAGUGAAAUCUACUUACCUGGUUAAAGUUAGAAAUCCAGUACCACCGGCAACACAACUAACACCAUCAGUUGCGCAGCAGUUGCUUAAUAAUCCUCGAAGUGGACCUAAUUUGUUCAUGGUCCGACCUCCUAUUCCUACUGCACCUUCUCUCCCAACAAAAGUUCUGGUACCUGUCAAUCAAUCUCCAGUUCAAAUACCAACAACCCAAGAAGGAACCCCACCAUUUGUUAAUGAAGCUUCAUUUCCAGUUGUUGAAGAAACUCCAUUUCCAGCUUCACAGUUACUUUCACAAUUCACCACAACUACUGCAAAAAAACAGAAACCAGCACCAUUGUCACACACUGCUGAAACUGUACAAGUUUCUCAGGUGGUUCACAGUAGUCACCCACCAAUUGUAACACAAGUUACUCCAGCUGUAGUGGUUUCCCAGGUUGCCCCAACUGUCAAAGUUCCCCACAUUGUUCAAAUUCCUAAAGUUGCCCCAGCUUCCCAAGCUGUGUUGGUUACCCCACCCAUACAGCUUAGUGGGAAUGCCAAGAAGACUAGUAACAAUCCAUCUCUUAAUGCAACAAAGCCCAAUAAACCACCAGAUGUUCCCACAGCACCUGCAACUGUACAGUCCAAUCAGCUGAUGACUGUAGUGACAUUGCCUUCUAAUGUUCCUCCUCCAGCAAAGAAUGUCCCUUCUGGACACAAUACAGAAGAUCCAAAACUCUUGUCCAAGACCACUCCAUCACUCUGUGUCGUUGUUCGCCCUGCAAAUGCAGUUCCUGAUGCUGUGAAUGCCAAGAAACGAGAAGCUCUAGAUUCGUUUGUCAAAAGUCGUUUAGUCCUUGAUGGUCGUCGCUUUGCUGAAUGGUUAAUGCAAGUUGGGCUACUACGAAGUCAGCAAUUCGGCUUAUGUCGGACACAUUGUAACGGGAACCCAACACCGGUCCCUUUACAGCUUAGGAUGUAUGCUGAAGAGAAUAAAUUUCCGUACAGUGGAGGCUACGUAUGGAUAACAAAGUGUUGCGAUCGCAAUUUCGUUUCCAUCUUUCGUGAAUCGAUAUUUGAAGAUGCGGCUCAUUCACCAACUGUUUUGUUAAAGUUGAUCUACCAUUGGGCUUGCCAGACCACUGUCGCCAAUGUAGUACAGUGGGUGAAAAUAGAUCAUCUCUAUCUUCGCCUGUUCUAUACCAUGUUGCGAAGUGUUUGUACGGUUGAAGUUCACAACAGCACUCCGUUGUUUGGUUCCAAGAACGGUCGCGUUGAGGUUGGAGUUAUUUCUUUGGGAACAACGUCAACCGAUGGAAAGCGGCGGGACGUUAAGGUUGAAGUGCUUGGCGUCUAUGAUCAAGAAACGAGAAAACUCCGGCUCCGUGCCUGUGAACCAAUCGUUGGAGAUACACGCAGUCGAGCUCGAUUCACCAAAAUACUGGAACCUCUUCCAAGGUGGGUGAACCAGAAAGCGAUCAUAAUUACUGAUUUCACGGUAGAUCGUACUGCCCUCGAAGAGUUGGGAUUUCGUCACGUUGUCCAGAAAAACUUGAACACGGUACCAGCCGAUGACCGCCUCAAUAAUCGCACGGUGAUGGAUUAUCUCCGUAAAACGGUACCGAAGGUGUUCCAGAAUACCUUGUCCCUUCUGUCUACAGCAACGAUUCAGCAGUUUCUUGAUGAGCUUAUUUGGCGAGAAAUCAACGGUCAGUCAUCGUCUGACGCGUUCCACAACAUUAUCCGUGAUAUUAGCGCACAGGCUCGGGCAGAUACAGGUGUGCCAUUAGUCAAGCGACUACCCAUCGUGUCGGUUGAUCCAUUCAAAGAUUGGAGUAUUAACCAAAGCAAAGCAAACCUACAAAACACAGUUUCUUCGAACGAAACCACCAUUACGUGCGCAGGAGCUGUGAAACGGCCCAUUUCAUCAACUAGCAAAGAUGCUUCUGCAUCCAGUGGUGCAAGCAACGCGAAAGAAGCGCGUACUACUUUGUACUAUGCCACCAUGUUAGAUUCAAGCAAAGAGGUUACCGUAUGCGAUCCAAAGAAUGAGGAAACCGUGUUACCCACUUACCUCCCUUGUCAACACGCGAACUGUCACAAGGUGACGAAAAGCAAUUUGGAAAUGAUGAUGCAUUUGAGGCAGCACUUGGUAGAGGACGCAGUGACCGACAGGAAGGACUGGAAAGAACAUUGCAGCUACUGCUUGGAUACGCUAGCUACGGUUGGCCAGAAAAAAGGGCACGAAGAAAAUCGCCACACUUUUCUUUCGUCGUUCACUGUUCAAAAGUCGAGAGAAGACGUUGCCACGGUUAAAGAUAUAGUAUGCUUAAUCUGUCACGAGAGAUUUGCCUCACUUCGUCUGUUAGAACAUCACCUGGAAAAGACGCAUGUAUAUUGCGAGAUGCCAUAUCGUUGCCGCGUGUGUCAAUUCCAGACGUCUGUUCACUCGCAGUUGAUCGAUCAUUUUUAUGAUCAUCAUAAGAAAAGCUUGCAUUUGUUAUGUCCGUUGUGCCUCGAUACAUUUGACACGAAAGGUGACAAUGUAGCUAAAGGGUUUGAUACAGGCCAUAUGCAAUAUUUGCAACAUCUGAAGAAUCAUCUUCCGCUGACCAAUCGCCAUCCUUGCAAACGCUGUGUUUUGACUUUCCAACAGUACGACCAGUUACGGUAUCACGUCCGCACGGAUCAUACAUCAGCAGUUACGAACGCCCGUGCCCGUCCUUUCUCUUACACGGUCAUAAACAAACCAAACGGCAGUAGAUUUAUGCAGCCAAGUCAAACGAUGAUCCAGUCUAACCCAUCCAUCAUGACAAUCUUACCACUUUCGUCCGAUUUGAUGUCUACAAUUCCCGACUCUUGUUCCCUAAACACAUCAACGUCUGGAAUCAAAUCGGGAGUCAAGACGUACUCUAAAGAUAUUCUACAAGAUAUACCGAACACAAGUGUAGCCCGCCGGCUUCCGAAUGUAACUCUGGCGGAAGAGAUGCUUCUUACGGCCAAUCUGUGCAUUGAGUGCAAAGAGCCUUUGAAGAAGAAAAAUCAUUUCACUGGAUACAUGUGUUGCACUCUCUGUCGCUUUUCAACUUGCUGCUGCAUCGCCAUGAAACAACACCAGAAUCAGGUCCAUAAAGGAAAAUUAGGUCCAAUUCUCGGUUCUGUUUAUGCCCUGAGUGAGGCGGUGAAAUGCAAGUGUGGAUUCUCCAGCACCAGCGGUCUUGAAUUGGAACGUCAUCUGGUCCAUUGCGGGGAGAAAUCAGUCAUCGUUGCACCCUAAAUCUCACUUUGAACAGAAAUAGGAACUACGGCAAUUAUCCUGUCACUUAGAGAGCAUAUUCAUUCAAGAGAGUGGUCCAUCUUGUUUGCUGAGGAACUGCUACCGCUCUACUCUUGGCCGGUGGCGGAGCAUCCCAUACUUCUUCGUUUUGCGGAGCUGCCUUUGCAGCUGCUAAGGCCGCGGCAUGUGCGGCCAAGUGUGCAGAUCGGGCGGCGGCCACUUCAGCUGUUUCUUGGGUGUGGUCAUUGUCAACUCGAUAACCGUUUUCGUCAGCAAUGAAGUUGACACGGAUCUCCUUUCCUUCAGGGCUGAUGUAUGCGUAGCUGCCCACCUGGUUACCUUGGGCAUCCCUGUGCGUCUCGGCAGACUGGCCUGGGUGGGAAUAACCAUACUUGGCUUGGCCGUAUCCGUCUUGAGAUUGGUAUUGACGGGCAAUAUCACUGGAUGAAGGUUGAAAUGAUUGAGGGGUUGCCCAAGUGUUGUGCUGAGGAGCGAUCCGGGUUUUCUGUUGGGGAGCUUCCCAGUGAUUCUGUUGGUCUACGAUCACGCUCUCCUGCGGGGGCGCACGAGCUGCAGCUUCUCUGUAACUCUGGUAAAAUUCAUUCUUUGCUGCUUGAACUUCAGGUGUGUCCUGUACUGGUUGGGGCAGACCAUAGUCGGCUUGAACAGAAGCCCAUUUGGUGGUCGGGGGAUUAGACCAGCUUUGCUGAGGAGCAACCCAGCUCUUCUCCUGAGGAAUGGUUACGGGCUUACUCCUAACGGGUUGUGGAGCAUCCCAUUCUUCUUGGUUUGGCGACGCUGCUCUGGCAGCAGCUAAAGCGGCCGCGUGAGCAGCCAGGUGAGAAGAUCGGGCGGCAGCCACUUCAGCUGUUUCUUGAGUGUGAUCGUUAUCAACUCGAUAACCGUUUUCGUCGGCGAUAAAGUUGACGCGGAUCUCUCUUCCUUCUGGGUCAAUGUAUGCGUAGCUGCCUACCUGGUUUCCUCGGGCAUCUCUGUGCGUCUCAGCCGAUUGACCUGGAUGAGAAUAGCCGUACUUUGCCUGGCCGAAUCCGUCUUGAGAUUGAAAUUGACGGGCUACUUCGUUUGUGUUAGGUUGGAUCCAUUUCCCCGAAACGGCACAAGCGUACAGAAUAAUAGCUGCAACCUUUGUAACAGAAAUUUUAAUUUGUUGUAAUUCUAAACUGUAAUCAUCAUAUUUUACGUUGUCUAAAAGAACUUACCGAAAUGUUCAUGAUUAUUCGCGUGCAGAAGAUUGAAGAGCGGCGAGUGGGAUUGGUAUGUUCUUUCUCGAGAUUUCGGUGUGGUUUAUAUAGUCAUGAUGAUGUGAGUUUGUAGCCGCCAGGUAAGGUGAGAGACCGUGUUGCUCUUAUUGAGUGGGAGGUAAAGGUAUUGCGAUUCUCAAAGCUUCAGAGAAUUUCAGGGACAUCGCAAACAUCGCAAAGAGUGAUGCAUAAAUAAACGAGAAAUAACUAUAGCAUUGCUCUCGUUUUCUUGGUGACCCUUCCCUUUCAGCUUACCACACCCAAAAAUCUAGCCUGUAGUAAAAUUAGGUUUUUAUCCUAGUUAACAACCAUUCUUCCUAUAGCUUCCUUAUCAAGACUUGAGGAGGAGAGUAAAAGUAAUGACCUUUGAGCGUUGUCAAGAUUCAGCUCCAUCUUUUCGCCUCAUCCACACAAAGAAGCAAAAAAUAAACAGGUUUGACUAGUA